AGCAAGUGUGGAUGGGGCUUGCU
RNAcentral lists this non-coding RNA (23 nucleotides) under Rattus norvegicus (Norway rat). Lineage: Eukaryota; Metazoa; Chordata; Mammalia; Rodentia; Muridae. The record is from RNAcentral.